AUAUGCGUGGGUUAGUGCCUAAUUUAAAGCAAACAGCCGAGUAAUUCAAUUUGAAAAAAAACGUUAAAUAUCCAUGUCAUGACCUCUAUCUCGUUUUUCAUAUAAACUGCGUAGUUUCCACAGUUUGAGUCGGAUAUCCCCAAUUUUCUAUAAUUAGAUUAUAACGCGAUAACAUCAAUACAUGCUGUAUAUAUAUGCUUGCAUAUUCCAUUAAUAAUUUGUAUUCAAAUACAACAGUUCAGAAUGGCUGUCAUCUUGAGCAAAGGUAUUUUGGUAUUUACUCUGAUGGCGAUAUCGCUGACAGUUUCACAUCAGACUGUGGUACAAUAUACAACAGAUUUUACAGAUGUGAAAGUCUUUACAGCCGAUCAAACUGAGAUUAGCCUGGAUGUUCAAGUAAACUAUAGACAAAAUCAAUGGGAAGAUAUAAUUGUUGAUCCACGUGAAAACCCCAACCUCUACCAACAGAUAGUCAACUUUACAGUUAUAAAUGCACUGAAGGGUACCGGCGGAUUAUUUCAAUUGAUAGAUUAUUAUCAACAAAGAGAUGUCGUAGAAGCAUCCUUUAGGGAUGCCAUAGAUUUGAGAUUUACAGGGGUGUGUUGCGGUAUUGGAUGUAUCAACAAAAACGGAGAUUGUAGACAAGGCUGUAAACCUAGAGAUACCUGUACGACUUUUGACAAGGGUAUUUAUACCAUACUGGACAAGUUUAUUCUCGUGGAUGUUCACGUUCCUGAUUUCAUCAGACAUAGAAUAGAACAGCUUCUAGAAACAGAAAUUAUUGCAUCUACAGAAUAGUGGUAUUGAACAUAGAUGGCAUAAUUUCAUACAAUGCUACUCCCUGAUGUAUGGGUGUCAUUUUUUUUUCUUAUGUCUGCUGCUUGAUGAGUGACCUGACAAAUAAAUAAAUGCAAUCUGAAUCUUA
This is a long non-coding RNA of Patella vulgata (common limpet), 925 nucleotides long. RefSeq lists it as uncharacterized. NCBI's taxonomy places the organism in Eukaryota, Metazoa, Mollusca, Gastropoda, Patellidae. The record is from RefSeq and is a predicted model, not a curated record. The transcript has 5 exons.